GCCUGGGUGGCUCAGUUGGUUAAGUGUCAGACUCUUGAUCUCAGGGUCGUGAGUUUAAGCCCCACACUGGGUU
RNAcentral lists this transfer RNA (73 nucleotides) under Felis catus (domestic cat). It matches the Rfam family "tRNA". Rfam says of the family: Transfer RNA (tRNA) molecules are approximately 80 nucleotides in length. RNAcentral also lists the same sequence under 2 other names. The record is from Rfam by way of RNAcentral. Lineage: Eukaryota; Metazoa; Chordata; Mammalia; Carnivora; Felidae.